RNAcentral lists this ribosomal RNA (497 nucleotides) under uncultured bacterium. RNAcentral's name for it is "partial 16S ribosomal RNA". It matches the Rfam family "Bacterial small subunit ribosomal RNA", at positions 28 to 507 of the family's 1533-position model. The record is from RNAcentral.
GAUGAACGCUGGCGGCGUGCCUAAUACAUGCAAGUCGAGCGAACAGACGAGGAGCUUGCUCCUCUGACGUUAGCGGCGGACGGGUGAGUAACACGUGGAUAACCUACCUAUAAGACUGGGAUAACUUCGGGAAACCGGAGCUAAUACCGGAUAAUAUAUUGAACCGCAUGGUUCAAUAGUGAAAGACGGUUUUGCUGUCACUUAUAGAUGGAUCCGCGCCGCAUUAGCUAGUUGGUAAGGUAACGGCUUACCAAGGCAACGAUGCGUAGCCGACCUGAGAGGGUGGUAGGCCACACUGGAACUGAGACACGGUCCAGACUCCUACGGGAGGCAGCAGUAGGGAAUCGUCCGCAAUGGGCGAGAGCCUGACGGAGCAACGCCGAGUGAGUGAUGAAGGUCUUCGGAUCGUAAAACUCUGUUAUUAGGGAAGAACAAAUGUGUAAGUAACUAUGCACGUCUUGACGGUACCUAAUCAGAAAGCCACGGCUAACUACGUG